CCUACGGGUGGCAGCAGUGAGGAAUAUUGGUCAAUGGGCGCGAGCCUGAACCAGCCAAGUAGCGUGAAGGAUGACUGCCCUACGGGUUGUAAACUUCUUUUAUAAAGGAAUAAAGUGAGGCACGUGUGCCUUUUUGUAUGUACUUUAUGAAUAAGGAUCGGCUAACUCCGUGCCAGCAGCCGCGGUAAUACGGAGGAUCCGAGCGUUAUCCGGAUUUGUUGGGUUUAAAGGGAGCGUAGAUGGGUUGUUAAGUCAGUUGUGAAAGUUUGCGGCUCAACCGUAAAAUUGCAAUUGAUACUGGCAGCCUUGAGUACAGUUGAGGUAGGCGGAAUUCGUGGUGUAGCGGUGAAAUGCUUAGAUAUCACGAAGAACUCCGAUUGCGAAGGCAGCUUACUAAACUAUAACUGACACUGAAGCACGAAAGCGUGGGGAUCAAACAGGAUUAGAUACCCCAGUAGUC
Molecule: ribosomal RNA, 460 nt
Filed under: uncultured bacterium
Lineage: Bacteria
Description: partial 16S ribosomal RNA
Rfam family: Bacterial small subunit ribosomal RNA
Source: RNAcentral